Molecule: ribosomal RNA, 200 nt
Filed under: uncultured bacterium
Lineage: Bacteria
Description: partial 16S ribosomal RNA
Rfam family: Bacterial small subunit ribosomal RNA
Source: RNAcentral
AUUGAACGCUGGCGGCAUGCCUUACACAUGCAAGUCGAACGGCAGCACGGGAGCAAUCCUGGUGGCGAGUGGCGAACGGGUGAGUAAUUCAUCGGAACGUGCCCAAUCGUGGGGGAUAACGCAGCGAAAGCUGUGCUAAUACCGCAUAAGAUCUACGGAUGAAAGCAGGGGACCGCAAGGCCUUGCGCGAAUGGAGCGGC